GCGGUGCGCUUAAUGCAUGCAAGUUGAGCGAAGCUUCAUGGUAGCUUGCUAUCGUGAAUGACUUAGCGGCGAACGGGUGAGUAACGCGUGAAUAAUCUGCCCCAAUUACUAGGAUAGCUCAGGGAAACCUGAAUUAAUACUGGAUAAUAUUUUUCAUUCUCAUGAAUUUAAAAUCAAAGGUCCGCCGAAUUGGGAUGAGUUCGCGUUCUAUCAGCUAGUUGGUAAGGUAAAAGCUUACCAAGGCAACGACGGAUAGCUGGUCUGAGAGGACGAUCAGCCACACUGGGACUGAGACACGGCCCAGACUCCUACGGGAGGCUGCAGCAGGGAAUCUUGCGCAAUGAGCGAAAGCUUGACGCAGCGACACCGCGUGUGGGAUGACGGAUCUAGGUUUGUAAACCACUUUCAGGAGGGAAGAAAUUGACGGUACCUCCACAAGAAGCCCCGGCCAACUACGUGCCAGCAGCCGCGGUAAUACGUAGGGGGCGAGCAUUGUCCGGAAUUAUUGGGCGUAAAGAGCUCGUAGGCGGUUCAACAAGUCGUUCGUGAAAGUUUAGAGCUUAACUCUAAAAUGUCGAUCGAUACUGUUGUGACUAGAAUACGGUAGAGGUGAGUGGAAUUCAAAGUGUAGCGGUGAAAUGCGUAGAUAUUUUGAGGAACACCAAUUGCGAAGGCAGCUCACUGGGCCGCUAUUGACGCUGAGGAGCGAAAGCUAGGGGAGCAAACAGGAUUAGAUACCCUGGUAGUCCUAGCUGUAAACGAUGGAUACUAGAUGUGGGAACUGGAUUGACGGUUUCCGUAUCGUANCUAACGCGUUAAGUAUCCCGCCUGGGGAGUAC
RNAcentral lists this ribosomal RNA (839 nucleotides) under uncultured Actinomycetes bacterium. RNAcentral describes it as "SSU rRNA". It matches the Rfam family "Bacterial small subunit ribosomal RNA", at positions 39 to 883 of the family's 1533-position model. Lineage: Bacteria; Bacillati; Actinomycetota; Actinomycetes. The record is from RNAcentral.